AGAGGGAUAGCUGGGUCAAAUGGUGGUUCCAGUAUAAGUUUUCUAAGGAACCUCCAUACUGCUUUCCAUAUUGGCUGUACCAAUUUGCAGUCCCACCAGCAAU
RNAcentral lists this microRNA precursor (103 nucleotides) under Marmota monax (woodchuck). Lineage: Eukaryota; Metazoa; Chordata; Mammalia; Rodentia; Sciuridae. The record is from RNAcentral.